GAUGAACGCUAGCGGCAGGCUUAACACAUGCAAGUCGAGGGGUAGAGGAAGCUUGCUUCCUUGAGACCGGCGCACGGGUGCGUAACGCGUAUACAAUCUACCUUUUACAGAGGGAUAGCCCCAGAGAAAUUUGGAUUAAUACCUCAUAGUAUUUUCGGAUCGCAUGAUUUGAUUAUUAAAGUUCCAACGGUAAAAGAUGAGUAUGCGUCCCAUUAGCUAGAUGGUAAGGUAACGGCUUACCAUGGCAAUGAUGGGUAGGGGUCCUGAGAGGGAGAUCCCCCACACUGGUACUGAGACACGGACCAGACUCCUACGGGAGGCAGCAGUGAGGAAUAUUGGACAAUGGGCGCAAGCCUGAUCCAGCCAUGCCGCGUGCAGGAAGAAGCAUCUAUGGUGUGUAAACUGCUUUGUACGGGAAGAAACACUCCUACGUGUAGG
RNAcentral lists this ribosomal RNA (438 nucleotides) under uncultured bacterium. Its description in RNAcentral is "bacterial SSU rRNA". It matches the Rfam family "Bacterial small subunit ribosomal RNA", at positions 28 to 466 of the family's 1533-position model. The record is from RNAcentral.